RNAcentral lists this ribosomal RNA (497 nucleotides) under uncultured bacterium. Its description in RNAcentral is "partial 16S ribosomal RNA". It matches the Rfam family "Bacterial small subunit ribosomal RNA", at positions 28 to 507 of the family's 1533-position model. The record is from RNAcentral.
GAUGAACGCUGGCGGCGUGCCUAAUACAUGCAAGUCGAGCGAACGGACGAGAAGCUUUCUUCUCUGAUGUUAGCGGCGGACGGGGGAGUAACACGUGGAUAACCUACCUAUAAGACUGGGAUAACUUCGGGAAACCGGAGCUAAUACCGGAUAAUAUUUUGAACCGCAUGGUUCAAAAGUGAAGGACGGUCUUGCUGUCACUUAUAGAUGGAUCCGCGCUGCAUUAGCUAGUUGGUAAGGUAACGGCUUACCAAGGCAACGAUGCAUAGCCGACCUGAGAGGGUGAUCGGCCACACUGGAACUGAGACACGGUCCAGACUCCUACGGGAGGCAGCAGUAGGGAAUCUUCCGCAAUGGGCGAAAGCCUGACGGAGCAACGCCGCGUGAGUGAUGAAGGUCUUCGGAUCGUAAAACUCUGUUAUUAGGGAAGAACAUAUGUGUAAGUAACUGUGCACAUCUUGACGGUACCUAAUCAGAAAGCCACGGCUAACUACGUG